GAUGAAGAACGCAGCGAAACGCGAUAAGUAAUGUGAAUUGCAGAAUUUAGUGAAUCAUCGAACUUUUGAACGCACAUUGCGCCCGCCAGUAUUCUGGCGGGCAUGCCUGUCUGAGCGUCAUUUCAACCCUCAUGCCCCUAGGGCGUGGUGUUGGGGAUCGGCCAAAGCCCGCGAGGGACGGCCGGCCCCUAAAUCUAGUGGCGGACCCGUCGUGGCCUCCUCUGCGAAGUAGUGAUAUUCCGCAUCGGAGAGCGAUGAGCCCCUGCCGUUAAACCCCCAACUUUCCAAGGUUGACCUCAGAUCAGGUAGGAAUACCCGCUGAACUUAAGCAUAUCAAUAAGCGGAGGA
This 348-nucleotide unclassified non-coding RNA is filed under the name soil metagenome. RNAcentral's name for it is "partial contains 5.8S ribosomal RNA, internal transcribed spacer 2, and large subunit ribosomal RNA". The stretch from base 1 to 120 matches the Rfam family "5.8S ribosomal RNA", at positions 35 to 154 of the family's 154-position model. The record is from RNAcentral.